UCGGGAAUUUUGGGCAAUGGGCGAAAGCCUGACCCAGCAACGCCGCGUGAGGGAUGAAGUAUUUCGGUAUGUAAACCUCGAAAGAAUGGGAAGAAUAAAUGACGGUACCAUUUAUAAGCUCCGGCUAACUACGUGCCAGCAGCCGCGGUAAUACGUAGGGAGCAAGCGUUGUUCGGAUUUACUGGGCGUAAAGGGCGCGUAGGCGGCGCGGUAAGUCACUUGUGAAAUCUCUGAGCUUAACUCAGAACGGCCAAGUGAUACUGCUGUGCUAGAGUGCGGAAGAGGCAACCGGAAUUCUUGGUGUAGCGGUGAAAUGCGUAGAUAUCAAGAGGAACACCUGAGGCGAAGGCGGGUUGCUGGGCCGACACUGACGCUGAUGCGCGAAAGCCAGGGGAGCAAA
This 400-nucleotide ribosomal RNA is filed under the name uncultured bacterium. RNAcentral describes it as "bacterial SSU rRNA". It matches the Rfam family "Bacterial small subunit ribosomal RNA", at positions 355 to 772 of the family's 1533-position model. The record is from RNAcentral.